This 24680-nucleotide long non-coding RNA is filed under the name Prunus persica (peach). RNAcentral's name for it is "long non-coding RNA (PPER_LNC003619)". Lineage: Eukaryota; Viridiplantae; Streptophyta; Magnoliopsida; Rosales; Rosaceae. The record is from RNAcentral.
GCGACUGUAAGGCGUCAACUUGCCCUGCCGAUAUUAACAAAGUGUGCCCGGCUCCGUUACAAGUGAAGGGAUCUGAUGGAAGCGUAAUUGCGUGCAAGAGCGCUUGCUUAGCAUUCAACCAGCCAAAAUACUGUUGCACUCCACCUAACGACAAGCCGGAGACAUGCCCUCCCACUGAUUACUCUAAGCUCUUCAAGACCCAGUGCCCUCAAGCUUAUAGCUAUGCUUAUGAUGACAAGAGCAGCACCUUCACAUGCAGUGGUAGACCUGACUACCUCAUCACAUUCUGCCCAUAAGCAUAUAUAUAUAUAUAGAAUGGGAUCUUAUAUGAUAUGAUAUUAUACAUAUAGUUCCCAAUAAAUAAAUUUCCUGGAUCUUGACACAUUGUUGAUGUCAAGAAUUUGUAAUGCAGACGAUCAAAUAACGUAAAUGUUUGGAUUUUAUUUUCGUUCAUGGCUUUCAAAUUUUUGUUUCCUUCAUUUCUUUAUAUGAUGCAUUAUUUCCAGCAACAAAACAUGAGCAUAAUAUAAAGAGAGUUAGCUGCAAUUGAAAUGGUUAUCAAACGGGAGUUUAAAUACGGAUUGUAAUUUUCUGUCAUGCCUGGUGUUGAUGCGAAAAAGUGGUUUGAUACGUAAUUCGUCAACUUAGUCAAAAUGUCCCUUCGGUAGGUCCCCGUCCUUGGUAAGUGGUCCACUCCAGAGGGUCAAGUACCUGCAAAAGGACGCGUUCGGUAAAUCCUUGGGGUACCGGUGCGGUACCGGCCGAAGGCUCUCCGAUGCCUAAAUGAGUACGGAUUUAGUAAGGUUAACUGACAGAUCACACGAUAGCGUACCGUUAGUUCUUCUUCUUCCCUUUUGGGGAUAUGGGUCUCCUUAUAUAGACCUUGGGAGGUGUGCUUUGUGCUCAUUUUUCCGAUGUGGGACUCCAAGCAUGGAUUGUGAACAUGACACGUGUCUGUUGGUAAAAAGGGCCAAGAUAUAUAGCUUCGGUAGUGAGCAUGCCGUAGGGGCCCUGUGAUCAGAGUGGAUCCUGUCCACGUGUCCGGUGGAAAUAGGCCGUUUAAUUAGGUAUAAACAGUAGUCCCUCAAGUUCUCUUUCGAAGGUUCUUCGGAAGGGAAUUUGGUUUUCCUUGGUAGUUCGGAGGUUCUCCUGCCGUUCGGCAUGCUCAUUUGGGGGGAGGAAAGGCGCUUGAGUUGUUCCUUUCGGAAAGUAGUGUUCUGGGAAAAUCGGUCGGGGACUUGAAGGGUCGCCAAUGUUGAGAGGCGAGAGGGCAGAGAGACGCUUCGUCUUCCGUGCCUGGCGCGCAGAUAGAGGCGCCAUUUGCCGGGUGACGCGUGGCCAGCAAUAACACGCCUGUUGGUGCAUUAAUGAGCCGUUUCGUCUCCCGAGGCGUACCGUUACAGUUCUCCCUCUAUAAAUAGAGGUUGCUCUGUAUGAAAAAAUUCACUUUGCAAUUGUGAGUUUGCGCGAGAGCUCUUGAGUAGGCGAUUUUUGAAGUGUGCGAACGGCAAGCAAGGCGAUUUUCGAAGCGUGCGAACGGUAAGCUAGGCGAUUUUCGAAGCGUGCGAACGGCAAGCUAGGCGAUUUUCAUAGCACUCAAGGUAAGAUACCGUUCGGUACCCCUGAAUUUUGUUAUACUUCUGUAUAUGGCAUAGGCUCGCCGAUCGUUAAGUAGGAUCUUCCUUCGGUAGUCUAGUGGCCAUAGGUAGAGAAGUAGGUAUCUGUAGGAUAGCGCAGCACGCACCUUAGUUUUUCCCUUUUUCUUGUUUUGUAGAUGUCCGAUAGCGAGUCACCGUUCGGCGAUGAGCCCAACGCUUUCGACGGGGAGCUAUCUUCCGGCUGGGGUACGUCCAGCGAGGCCGUGAGCCUCGGCGCCGAGGGCGGGGAAGACUCCGAUGCCGAGCUAUUCGGUGAGGAGGCGGAUUCCAUUCCCACCCACGGCAUCGGUAAGGGGUUCAUGACGGGGCACCCGUUACCCCUGGUCGCGGUGUACAGGGACGGUACCCGUGUCGUGCCGUCUGAGCACCAGCCAGAGGCUUCCACCUCCGGCAAUGAUGAGUGUGUUGCCGGUCCCUCUCGGCCGAGAGUUACGAUCGUCCACCGAGAGCGGUAUAGGAUACCGGUGGGCAUACCGCAGAAGACCCUGUUCGGGGUUGAUUAUUUGGGGCCGAACAAACUUACCGAACGGGAGCUUCAAAAGAUUAGGGCCGAAUACCUCAUUCCUGACUCGGUGAAGAUGAGGGUCCCGAGCCCGGUCGAGUCCCUCAGCGACCCUGGGGAUGGUGAAGUCGUCUUCUUCACCGAUAUGCUGGUGCAGGGGGUCAGGUUGCCGUUGCAGCCUGCCGUUCAGAAGUUACUUGCCCAGAUUGGGUAUGCCCCGGGCCAAUAUAACCCCAACUUUUGGGUGGCCCUGAUGGGGGUGAUAACGGCCUUUGGGAUUGCCGGGGAGGGGGAGCCUUCCUACGAGCAAUUCUCCUACCUCUACAGCGUCACUAAGUCGAAGAGUGCCGACCAUGGUGGCUGGGUUCAGGCGAACUGCCUGAAGGCUUCCGAGCGAGGUCACUUCGUCAGCUCGGUGCCGACUUCCCAGAAGUCGUGGAGGAAUCGGCGGGUGCUACUCUCUGGCCAAUGGGAAUCGCCAUCAGGAGUACGCCCGCAGUCCCCAGUACCAACGACUUUCCAAACCGCCGGUAGGUCCCUAGUUACCGAUCGGCAGGUCCCUAGUUGCCUUUCUGUUUUCUUUUUAUAUUUGCUCACUCAUUCUUUAUUCGGACAGGCAAACUCAAGCAGCCGACUCCUACACAAGACGAGAUUCGGCAGAUCGACAGGGUGAGGCUGAAGGUCCCUGCCGCCGAGCGAGUGUACCCGCGCUUCCUUUUCACCAAUAAUCUCAUCAGAGCCGGGCUCGUCGACCCUGCCGAGAGUAAGUGUACUUGUUGCGCUUUUCUUCCUCUUCUCUUUUUUUGUGUGCUUGCCGACUGACUGAUUGUUUUUGGCCAGUGACGGACGCAAGGAGGGCUGCCGAGGCCAAGAAGAUGAACGAAUCUUCCAGGAGGCGCCUCAUGAUGGGCCUCGAGGGCAAGAAGAAAAAGAAGCAGCUCGAGGCCCCUGCCGUUCGGUCGUCGACGGACCCCGAGGAGGUGACCCUCGCUGAGCGUAUGCGGCAGUUGGGCGCUGAGCCUGUCGCAAGGCCGGCUGUCGAUCCCCAUGCGCCGAGGCAUGCCGUCGCCGAUGCCGUCGCCUCAAGGGCUGCCGGGAAGCGGCCGAUAACGGUGGAUUUGGAAACUUCUCCGGCGUCCAAGCGAAGCCGUCCGUCAGACGCUUCCAGGGCCGUCUUUGCGGCGGAGGACGAGGAUGGGCCUACCGAGGCCGUCACUCUCGCCUGCCCCUCGAAGACGGUGCAAUUCGUCAACCAUAUGAUCCUCGGUUCUCAGAUGGAGCUGCCGGAGGUUGACGAGUUGCCGAAGAAGGUUCUUCGGGAGCAGGCUGGACGCGCCUUCCGACUGCAAGCAGCAGUAAGAAUUUAUCUCCCGGUGUUGUCCUUUCAUUAUUUUUUUUUCGGUGCCAAGUGGGGCUUCAAACUAUCUUCCUCGUGUGCAGGCGUCCAUGGAGAUGUGGCUGUGUGUCAAGCGGGCCAUCUCCGCUGCCGAACGGGCAAAAAAGGACUAUGACGACGGCAGGGCUAAGGUUGCCGAGGCUGGAAAGGCUAUCCAGGACCACGCCCAGCUGCUAAAGGAGAAAGAGGCUGCCGAACGGCGGGCUCUCACUUCGGAGGCGACGGUGGGCGAGAUGCGGGCCGAUCUGGAGGCAGCGCGGGCGGCUCUGGAGGCAGCGCGGAUGGCAGCGCGUGAUGCCGAGGCCGUCUCGGAGGCGGUUCAGGACGCUCUGCAGGAGUCCGAGCGGACCAAGGCUGCGGAGGUUGAGGCUGCCAUUCAAACGGCAAUCCAGGGAUACCGUUCUUCCGAGGAGUUCACUGUCCUCCUGGACAGGGAAGUUGGCUCCGAGAUGGCGGGUAUGUUGUACCGAUUCAAGCGGUACAACCCUGGUCAGAAGCUGAACCUCAACUUCGCUGCCGAUCCCCCUCCCCUUCCCGAGGGAAUAACUGAGGAGAUGAUCGAAGACUACGAGGGGGAGGAUGCUGCUGCUGACGAAGCCUGAGGGCCUCUGUAAUAGUUUUAGCCUGUCUUAUUUUUAUUGUUAUUUUGUAUCUGUACCGAACGCCUUGAUGCCGAGGGCAUCUUUAAAUUAGAUGUGCAUAUUUUGUCUAUUUUUGUCUUUUCGAUUUGAUUUUGUUUUAUCGCCGAUAGGAUUUAUAACGUUAUAGAAGUAGCUUUCGAAAUUGUCAAGUUUCGAUGGAAUCUGUAGGGUGACAAUUUCGAAAAUACCUCCUGCCGUAGGUUAGUAAAGAUGCCCCAGAACGUUAUCUUGCUUAUAUUGGCAGCCGUAGGCUAGUAGAGACUGUAACAAGAGUUUCUGAAGCAAUAGUGCCGAAGGCUUUCUAUUUAUCUUUGCCGAAAGGCAUUUACAAUUUUGUCCUACCGUAGGCUAGGUUGCAACUCUGUCCUGCCGUAGGCUAGGUUACUUGAAAUAGUACUUGAGAUGUUCCACGUUCCAAGGAUGACCGAGGGUCUUGCCGUUGGAGUCUCUUAGGCGGUAGGUUCCCGAUCGAAGGAUACCGAUGAUCUCGUAAGGUCCUUCCCAGGAAGGUCCGAGGGUUCCUUCCGUGGCAUCCUUAGUUGCUAGGGACACCUUCCUCAUGACCUAAUCACCGGCUCGGAAUGAACGGUGUCUGAUUCUGGAGUCGUAAUACCGAGAGACGCGUUGCUUGUAGGCUUCGUUUCGAAGGUUGGCAUGUGCUCGGUGCUCUUCCAGGAGGUCGAGGCUUAGAGAAAGUGCUGCUUCAUUUGGCUCUGGUGCGAAGGUUUCCGUUCGGUAGGAAGGUUCGCCAAUUUCUACCGGCACAACGGCUUCCGAACCGAAAGCCAAAGAGAAAGGGGUUUCUCCUGUGGACGUUCGGUAAGAGGUCCGAAUGGCCCAGAGCGCUUCGGGAAGCUUUUCUGGCCAGGCUCCUUUGGCUUUGUCCAGCUGCCGUUUUAGCAGUUUCUUGAUGAUUUUGUUUAUCGCUUCUACCUGACCGUUCGACUGGGGAUGGGCCGGUGAUGCGAAAAACAAGUUGAUCUUCAGGCGGGUGCAAAAGUGCCUGAAGAGUUCCGAAUCGAACUGCCUGCCGUUGUCGGUGAUGAUUGCGUACGGGAUACCGAAACGGCAACAAAUGUGAGUCCAGACGAAGUCCUCUACUCUUGCUGCCGUUAUGGUUGCAAGAGGUUCGGCCUCCACCCAUUUGGUGAAGUAGUCGACGGCAACCACAGCGUAUUUCACCUGGCCUUUACCUUGUGGCAUCGGACCGAUCAGGUCUAGCCCCCACUGUGCGAAAGGCCAAGGACUCACGAUCGGUGUCAAGGGUUCGGCGGGGAUAUGCUGUAUGUUGCCGAAACGCUGACAUUUAUCGCAUUUCUUCACAAGUGAAUUGGCGUCCUGGUGCAUGGUCGGCCAGAAGUAUCCCUGCCGAAAGGCUUUGUGUGCGAGUGACCGGGACCCAGAGUGAUCGCCGCAAACACCAUUGUGGAUUUCCCGGAGAACGUAGCUCCCCUGCUCUGCCGUAAGGCACUUGAGAUACGGAGUCGUGUAGCCACGUUUGUAAAGGACGUCGUUGAUGACGGUGUACCUUGCCGAUCGGUAUCUAAGCUUUCGGGCCUGGGCCUUGUCCUCUGGAAGGGUGCCGUUGGUUAGGUAUGAGUAGAUAGGGGACAUCCACGUAUCCUCGUACCGUACGGUACAUAUUUCGGAGGUUGCCGUGCUUGGUUGGGCAAGAAUUUCCACCGGCACCUUUCUUCCGAUUUUGUCAUUGAUUGCCGAGGCUAGUCGCGCUAAAGCAUCGGCAUGACUGUUUUCGCUCCUGGGGAUCUGUUUGAUCUCAUAGGCUCGGAAGCUCUGGAGCAGCUGGUGGGUGGACGAAAGGUAGGCGUUCAUGGAGGCGUCUCUGGCGGCGAAGUCCGCCGUUACCUGGUUCACAAUGAGUUGGGAGUCACUGUGUAUCUUGAUCUGUUUUGCGUUCAUGCUCUUGGCUAAACGAAGGCCGGCCAAGAGAGCCUCAUAUUCUGCUUCAUUGUUGGAGGUUCGGAAGUUGAAUCGGAGGGCGUACUCGAUCUUGAGUCCCUCCGGUGUUGUCAGAACCAACCCUGCUCCACACCCCUGUUGGUUUGCCGAGCCGUCGACAUGCAGAGUCCAUACAGGAUUUGAGGCGUCGAGCCGUUCGGCGUCUACCUCCAUCGGUGCCGCGGUUUCGGUAACUGGCUCGGGUAUUUCCUGUGUCGUUGGUGGGGUGAGCUCGGAGAUGAAAUCGGCAAUGGCCUGACCUUUUCGGCUGGCCUUGGCACGAAUUGUAUAUCGAAUUCUCCGAGUUCAAUCGCCCACUUGAUCAAUCGGCCGGAAGUCUCUGGUUUUUGGAGUACUUGCCGAAGCGGUUGGUUUGUCAGGACAUUGAUCCCGUGUGCUUGGAAGUAUGGCCGAAGUUUUCGUGCCGAGAUCACCAGGGCUAGUGCAAGCUGCUCUAAUGGGGGAUAUCGAAGUUCAGCGCUCUGGAGUGCCUUACUGACAUAGAAGAUCGGUAGCUCUGCCCUCUCCGGUUUUCGGAUUAACACCGAACUGACGGCAGUGUUAGAUACCGAGAGGUAUAGGUAAAGAAUCUCCCCAGGCAGUGGUUUUGACAGGAGAGGUGCUCUGCCCAUAUAGUCUUUUAAGUCUUGAAAUGCUUUAUCACAUUCGGCAGUCCAUAAGAUAUUCUGUUUGCCCCCUUUCAAGGCUUUAAAGAACGGUACACAUUUGUCGGUAGCCUUGGAUAUAAAGCGAGUCAGGGCAGCCACUCGUCCGGUAAGGCUUUGGAUGUCCUUUGUUGUUUUUGGCCUCUCCAUGUCGAUGAUGGCCUUUAUUUUUUCGGGGUUCGCUUCGAUACCCCUGUGACUAAUCAUGAAUCUGAGGAAUUUCCCGGAAGACACACCGAAGGCGCAUUUCAUCGGGUUUAACCUCAUUCGGUAGCCCUUCAGGAUACCGAACAUGAUAGACAGAUUGUGCAGGUGUUCUUCGGCUGUUCUGCUUUUCACCAACAUGUCGUCAACGUAAACCUCCAUGAUGCUGCCGAUGUGUUCGGCGAAGAUUCUGUUGACAAGCCUCUGAUAUGUUGCCCCCGCGUUCUUCAAGCCGAACGGCAUGACGUUGUAGCAGUACAACCCUCUGUCAGUGAUGAAGGCGGUGUGCUCGCUGUCGGGGGGGUGCAUAAAAAUCUGGUUGUACCCUGAAUAGGCGUCCAUGAAGCUGAGCAGCUCGUGUCCUGCCGUGGCGUCCACGAGCUGGUCUAUUCGGGGUAACAGAAAGCUGUCCUUCGGGCAGGCCUUGUUCAGAUCGGUGUAGUCUUGGCACAUUCUCCAGCCGCCUGUACCCUUUCGAACCAUGACUGAGUUCGCCAGCCAUACCGGGUACGUAACUUCCCUGAUGAAGCCGAUGGUUUGAAGUUUGUCAACUUCCGUCCGCAUGGCUUCGUACCGUUCGGCAUCAUACAAACGGCGCUUCUGCCUUACAGGUUUGUAGGUUGGGGAAAUGCUGAGUUUAUGGCUGAUGAUUUCAGGGUCUAUGCCGGGCAUGUCUUCGUAGGACCAUGCGAACACUUCCGAAUGGUGCCGUAAGAAGUCUAUAAACUGCGCUCGGAGGGCGGGGGUCAGUCUGGUACCGAUUUUAACCCGACGAUCGGGCUGUUCAUCGCUCAGGGUUAUCGUCUCCAGUUCUUCGACGGGUUGCGUAUAAGGAGUUGGUGACUCAUCUCUUGGGUCGUCAACUGGUCCGUUGCCGUUCGGCAUCCCCUGCACAGACAUGGUCUUGUCUGGGAUUUUGAGAGAGGUUGAUUUGAUCGCCGUGGCGUAGCAAGUCCGUGCGCUCAGCUAAUUUCCCCUGACAGAUCCUACGCCAUUUGGGGUCGGGAAUUUCAUCAACAGCAUGUGUGGGGAAAGAUGCGCCUUUACCCUGGUCAGUGCCGUUCGCCCAACAAUGACGUUGUACGCCGUCGGGCAGUCAACGAUGAGGAACUUGUCAUAUACCGUCGUUCUCUUUGGCGCGGUGCCGAAGGUAAUUGGGAGCGUUACGCUACCGACCGGUUGGACCAUGUCCCCGGAGAAACUUAGCAAAGGCGUCAACUGCCGGUUGACCUGGCUGUCCUGUAUUCCCAUUUCUCGGAAAGCUUCGGCGAAGAUUACGUUUACCGAGCUCCCUGUAUCAAUCAGUACUCUCCCUACAUCGUAAUCGGCAAUUUCUGCUCGGACGAUCAUUGGGUCGUCGUGGGGACAGAGAAUGCCCUGUUCCUCUUCUUUGCAAAACGUGAUCGGCUCCCAAUGAUCCUUCGGUGUUUCAUGGUGGCGAUUCACCUCUAUGCCGAACACCUGGGGAAACUGUGCGGCACGCACGUACUGCUUCAUCGAGCGAUUGCUCAGUCCUGCGAUGGUUGGGCCGCCGCUGAUAGUGCUUAUCAUGUUUAUCUGCCGAUUUGCGUUCGGCUCCGGCGCCGUUGGCUGCCGGGCGAUAUACUGGUCUAGCUUCCCCUCUCGGAUCAAGCGUUCGACGAUCUUCCUCAGGCUUAUGCAGUCUUCUGUAUUAUGGCUGUUGUGCUGAUGGUAUCGGCAGAAUUUACCGGUAUCCCGGUUGUCUUGCCGAUUGGGCCUUCGUUGAUUCGGCUUGGGUAUUUUUUCCUGUUCGUUCAUCAGGACGGCCUCGUAGGUAGUAUUCAACAGGGUGAAGACCUCAUUGCCAUGAUCCCGAUUCGGCAGGGGGGCUCGGUUGUCGUUGCGACUGUACCUCCCUUUUUCUUUCUUUGGGUGCUCCCUUCGAUCUGCACGAUCAUCCUUCCUCUUAUGACCUGCCGAGUAGGUGUCGACUCGCUCAUAAGGCGUUGCCCUUGCCGGAUAGGCACUUGGUUCCGCAUUUCCUUGCGGUGCCGAAACCGUGGGUUUCGAGUUGAAGUAUUCGGCCUUGGCGUGGAUUGCUGCCUGCUUCAUCAGUUCAUCGUACGUGCGCCAGUUGCUACUGUGCACCAGGUAUCGAAAAUGAGAGGACCGAAGGCCACUCUUGAAGGCGCCGUAGGCUGCCCUAUCAUCCGUUUCCGGACACCUUGAGUACUCGUGACUGAAACGCGCCGCGUAUUCUCUCAACGGUUCGUCCUCCCUUUGCCGAAUCGUGUACAGAUCAUCGGCGGAGUAGAGACGGUCCGUUUGGAUUAUGAAGUGAUUGAGGAAGAUCUGCUUCAGCUCAUCAAAGGAUGCUACCGUUUCCGGCUCUAAACGGUAGAACCAGUUCAAGGCUGCCCCGGUAAGGGAAGACGGGAAUAGCAGGCACUGCCCCUCAUCGCUCAAGCCCUUGCAUCCAAUAGCGGACUGGAAUGAAUGGAGGUGUGUCAAAGGGUCCUCCGUUCCUGUGUAGAACGUUAUACGCAGUUGCUGCACUUCCCUGUCUUGCCGAGAAUCCCGGAUGCGCCUUGUGAACGGUCCGGGCCGAAGCUUUCCCCAUUCCGGUUCUUGGGAGCGCGCAUUGUCGUUUUCCAUUUUCUGGACCUUCUGAAAAAGGAGUCGGAUCAUGGGGUCUCGGCUAGGGACUUCUUCGGAACCGUAAUCUUCCGAUUGUCUUUGUAGGUUUAGUGAAUUAUCCCCCGCAUACCGCGAUGGUGUUUCCGAACGGUAGUCGGGGGGAAGUGUCUUGGAAGGGAUGUACUCGGACUCCGAAGACUCGGCGGGGCCCAAUCCCCUGACCUUCCGAAUAGGCGACUUAUCCCCUAGGUUAUUCAUCCGUGAUUCCCUUAUUCGAGCGCCAAUCCUGAUCGGUGACCCCUCUCUCUCUGGCUCCCGAUCGUUAGUGCGAUGCUCCCGGUCGUUAAUCCGAUGUCGGCAAUCGGUGUAGACCUUCCUUGGGAUGUGCGGCUGAUCCCGGGGUGCCGGAACCACUAACUCUCUGGAAGGUGCGGGCGUUGCCUUCGCUACCUUCGCGCGUUUGUUCUUCCCGCGGGGGUUCUGCAAGCUCUCGGAAGAGCGAGUUGUCUGUAUGUUCUGCGGUUGCUGCUGGUGAAGCAACUGCUGGGUUUCGUCCACUUUGGACGAAAGGAAGUUGUUGUGUUCCUGAAGCCUCGCCAUGUCCUUCCGUAAGGAUGCGAUUUGGGCUGCCAUCUCGACUUCGGCAGCCGUUUGGGUAGCGGGGGCAUUUCCGAAGGGAGUGUUGGAGGUAGCGCUGGGCUAGCUCCGCUCUGCCUUCCGAACGGUACCCCCUCUUCCGCUAGGAACGUUUGUUUUGAAGUGGUCCCCAUGUGCUUAGGGGAUUGUGGGUUGAUGAUUUUUUGGUUUCCCACAGACGGCGCCAAACUGUUGAUGCGAAAAAGUGGUUUGAUACGUAAUUCGUCAACUUAGUCAAAAUGUCCCUUCGGUAGGUCCCCGUCCUUGGUAAGUGGUCCACUCCAGAGGGUCAAGUACCUGCAAAAGGACGCGUUCGGUAAAUCCUUGGGGUACCGGUGCGGUAUCGGCCGAAGGCUCUCCGAUGCCUAAAUGAGUACGGAUUUAGUAAGGUUAACUGACAGAUCACACGAUAGCGUACCGUUAGUUCUUCUUCUUCCCUUUUGGGGAUAUGGGUCUCCUUAUAUAGACCUUGGGAGGUGUGCUUUGUGCUCAUUUUUCCGAUGUGGGACUCCAGGCAUGGAUUGUGAACAUGACACGUGUCUGUUGGUAAAAAGGGCCAAGAUAUAUAGCUUCGGUAGUGAGCAUGCCGUAGGGGCCCUGUGAUCAGAGUGGAUCCUGUCCACGUGUCCGGUGGAAAUAGGCCGUUUAAUUAGGUAUAAACACCUGGUAAGGAAUAAGCAUGGCUAUUUACGAAACUAUAAUAUGAACAACACUGAGAAACACAAGUAUGGCCAUUUCAAACAGACUACAAAUAACUUCGUAUUCCAACAAUGAAUCAACAGCACCCAUGGCCAUAUACGUUUGCAGCAUCUGAAGGUAGAUCAUCUAAUUAAUGUUAGAAGGAUAAUAGUUUCUAAAGUUCUUUAUUAAAAAAAUCAAUAGACAACCACCAGAGACAAAUUUUGUUUUGGAGAAGAUGAUUAUUCUCAAUUCUUGACAGCUGCAUAAUGCUAAAAUAUGAAUAUGGUUUGAAUACUUUACUUUAGGUUAGUUGUAUUCUUCUUCAUAAAGAGGUAUAUAUGAGUUUACAAGGUGCUUUAUAAGGAAAUAGAUACAGUUAAUUACCAUGGUAUACAAAGUGACUUAGAGACAAAAACUCAGAGACCGACUUGACUUUCACCAUGCGGCUUCUGGAAGUGCAAAUGAACCAUGCACAAGACUUUUAGAGUGAGCUCUUUGGACGUGGACUUGUUAAAACAUGAAAGGUUUUGUGUUGAUUUUUCUCAAUCAUACAAUCCGUUAAUAUACAAAUUUAUGUACACGAACACUACUAAGGAAUGCAAAGACUUUAAGAUCAUACAAACUACAAGUACUUGUUGAGAGUAUUUAGUCCAUGUUUUUUUUUUAAAAAAAUGCAGACAUUCAUUUUGUAUUUUAUUUUCCGUUCAUGUUUUUUUAUGGUUUAUCAAACUCAUAUAAAUAUGAUACAUAAAGCAAAAAAUAGAGAGAGAAUAGUAAAACAUUCAAAAAAUUAAAAAUUGUUCUUACUUCAUUUUUUUUUGUUGGAAUGCAUUUAUUACACAUUGAAACUUUUCAUUAAAUAAGCAUAAUAUAGUAAAUAUAUAUAUAUAUAUAUAUAUUAGAUGGGGACCUAUUUUCUUGGGACACAACUUGACAGGACCCGAUCCAAAUUCCACUUUGGAAUCCGAGCCAUACCCUGUGUGUGUCCGACACUUGGCGAAUGUCGUUUUCCGGCGAGCUCCGGCCACGGAAACUCCGACGAAGGGUCAGAAAAUGACGGCGGUCGAGUGGUGGUUCGUUUGGUACCAACGGCGGAGAUCGGCUCCAAGCGUGGUGGCCGUGGCGACGAUGAGAAGGGAGGAAGGUCGGCUGGCGCGGGCUGAUCGGGAGGAGAGAGAGAAAAGAGAGAAAUUGAUGGGGGAAGAAAGAGAGAGAGAGAGAAACAGGUUUUAUAAAUCUAAUUUUCCAAUUUACCAUUUUCCCCCUCAUGAUAUUUUAAUCGUAUUGUCUUCAUGAAAAUUCCGAUUUGAGCUUACUUCGUGUCUAUGAACUCGUGUCGUCGUGCUCUACGGAACGGUGUAUGGGGAAUUGUCAAAUUCCUUUUCGGUCAAAAAGUCAACUUUGAGUUCAUAAGGUAGUCAAAGGGCAAAAUUGUCUUUCCGUAUAAUAAAUUACUCAUUAAAUAUGAAUUUUAGGUUUGGGUCAUUACACAACUUCUUUAUCUUUUUUUUUAGUUGGAUUCUUAAUUCUUAAAUUAAAAAAACGAAAAUAAAAAACCAAUUGGCACCAAGGUAGUAUAUAUGAAACAUCGUCAGAAAUUAAAUUUUUUUUUUUUUGAAAUGUUCAUAAAAACAAACAAACAAAAAUAUAUACAUACAUUAACAAAAAAAAUAAUUUUCAAAAUAAAUGCACAGUGCCCAAGGAAACUCCUUAUAUAAUGUAUGUCUCUUGAAAAUUGUCAACAAAUCCGCUGUAGCAAUACUUACAAAUGGAUAAUUGUAAUCCGGGUUCGAAUCCCGACAGUGGAAUUCUUUUUAAGUUAGAUGUAUGACAGGAUUCGCCCCAAAUUCCUCGGAACCCGAAAUGAAUCCUGUGAAAUUCCGACAUCACCCCGAUGCCGGGCCCACUUAUUAAAGACCAAGACUUUCUACCAAAAUUUUGGCAGAGUCUCCCCUGUAAUUUGAACAAUCCCAAAAAUUUCAACAUGCAUAAAAUACAUGUCAUAUCCCAACAAGCAGCACGCACAAUAUAAUUUCAUGCAAUUCACAAACUCGACCUUAGGCCCUCACAUGAACCGAAGCGAAACCAAACUACCAACAAAGCCCUUACGCCAAAAAUAUUGCCUUAAUAUGGUAUAACAACACCCUUAAUUCAUCUCUCUAUACGCCUGAAAUUCCAACGCUACGUAUGAGGUCUGUCUCAACGCCGAAAAAUCCUACGCCACGCGAGACCUAACAAAUCACAUAAUCUCCUCAUACGCCGAAAAUUCUAACGCCACAUAUGGGGUCUGUCAUCAUUGAUUUAGGAUAUUAUCUUGAGAGAUAUUAUCAUCAAUUAGUGAUUUAAUCCCAAUCAAAUUGUUAAUUGACUUAAUCUCUCCAUUUAAGGGAAAAAAUAUCUUCCUUCAAAAUAAGAAGAUAUUCGUUGAAAAUCUCUUCAUUUAGGUAAUUCUGAAACGUAGCAAGAAUUCCCCAAAACCUCUCUCUCUCUCUCUCUCUCUCUCUCUCUCUCUCUCUCUCUCUCUCUCUCUCUCUCUCUCUCUCUCUCUCCGCCCUAGCCGACGGCCUCUCUCACUCUUAUCUCUCACACACGGCCAAGUGCCACCACACACGGCUUUGGCCACUCGACUCUCCCCGUGAGAAAAAGCUCCGUACCAUUUUUAGCUAUUGCAACAUAUUUUCUCCUAUUGCCACAUAUUUUCUCAAAGAUCCAAUCGAACUAACUUAGGCAUCGGAGAGAUUUUGACGAACACCUACCAGGUGUGGUUUUUUACUCUUGUUUGUUUCGCAGUAACCGAGCAAGAGAGAGAAGGAAGCUCAAAAAGUGAAAGAUCCACAUGCGAAUAUUCUUCCUUGAGAAAUUUGCAUAAACAGAAGACGUGUGACAUAUUCUUGGUUCAAAAAUAUCCAUCCGAAACAAGGAAAAAAUUGUAAAACCAAACUUAAGAAAUUAUACCUCUAUUCUGGUCAGCAUGAAUGGAUAUGUCCAAACAAAUUUUAAUCCAACAAGAAAAAUCAGAGGAGAAGGUUUAGGGUUUCACAAACAGAUCUACCAAGUAAAACGAAUUAACAUAUGAUAUGGGCAAAAUAAAGAAAUGAGACCAAGAUAAAACUUCUAGAAAGGUGACAAAUUGUCCUUUGAAGUAAUUUUACGUAAGCAUAACAAUUCGAAAUAAAAGAUAAACAAACAAAAAUCCUAUGAAUGGAUGGGACGAGGAAAAUUGAAGCUGACAAUAAAGGUUACUAACUUACUUGGGAUGUAUCCAAAGAAAAAAAAAAACAUGAAGGGAAAUACUAGUUUUCCUUCCUUGUUUUACUUUUCUCCCUCAUUAAUUGUACUUGGCUUUAGCUCCAUGCAUCUUCUCCUCCUUCACGGCAGCUUGGCCCAUCAAUCACGCUAUGAAAACGGCAUUUUUCCAUUUCUUCCAGUCUGGCUACUUUGACAUUUCUUGGGUUUCAUUAUCUAAAUUAAUAUCUAGUACUUGUUUUUUUAUGUACUCGUGCCAAUAUUCAAAGUACCUGCUAUCAUAAAUAAACCUAUGUAAACAGGGACUAAACGUUUAUGGCCCGUUUCCUAGUGUUGAUGACCUAUCAUCUAAUGUUUGAGUUUAAUCCAAAUCUCUCUAGAAGUUUUUUUUUUUUCCUUUCUCUAUGAGGGUUCAAACGUGACACAUCUCGUAACUCGUCUAUAAGUUAAAGUCAAUUUCUAUUGCGCUAGAGACCCUAUUGGCCUCUAAAAGAUCUUUUAGUUACUUCUUUAUCCAAUUGAUCACUUUUUCUACUUUAAUUUUUCUGGAUUGAAUUUGAAUUUUCUGUAAUAUAUAUUUUUUUGGGAUAAUGUAAACAGGGGACUUCACUUCAUUGCAGGUCAAUGACGAUAUCUAGGAACAAUCCAUCAGUCUAGGACCAAACAUUAUGAGUCAUUUGUUAGUUUCCUCAGGGUCCUGUUUACGUGUUGCCAUGGCAGCUUAGACCCGUAAUCAAAAUCGCAAGAAAAGAUCAAAAGUUAGGCACGCUACAAGCCCUAUAUAAAGCACCCCCUGGCACCCAAGUUUAUCAUCAUCCUCCUCACCAAAUUACAAAUUAAUUAAGUUUAUCAGCAACAGCAAGCCAAUUAAGACAUUUCCAAGACGAUGAUGAAGAGCCAAGCAGCUCUCCUCGGCCUCACCACCUUGGCCAUCCUCUUCUUCUCAGGUAUAAUAUUAUACAAACUUUGUUAGUCGAUCAGAUAUCGAUCAAAAGUUUAUUUUUACAAUUGUCUCUGUAAUCUGUUUUCUUAUGAUCACGUUGAAUAUGCAGGUGCACAUGCAGCUAAAAUCACUUUCACAAACAAAUGUUCCUACACUGUCUGGCCAGGAACCCUAACCGGUGACCAAAAACCUCAAUUAUCACUCACCGGGUUCGAGUUAGCAACCGGAAUUAGCAACUCUGUGGACGCUCCGUCCCCGUGGUCCGGUCGCUUCUUUGGCCGAACCAGGUGCUCCACGGACGCGUCAGGAAAGUUCACUUGUGCCACAGCAGAUUGUGGCUCUGGCCAAGUCUCAUGCAACGGUAACGGCGCAGUUCCGCCAGCUACAUUAGUAGAAAUCACUAUUGCUGAGAACGGGGGUCAAGAUUUCUACGAUGUUAGUCUUGUUGACGGCUUCAACUUGCCCAUGUCCGUGGCUCCACAAGGCGGCACCGGAGAGUGUAAGGCCUCAACUUGCCCUGCCGAUAUUAACAAAGUGUGCCCGGCUGAGUUACAAGUGAAGGGAUCUGAUGGAAGCGUAAUUGCGUGCAAGAGCGCUUGCUUAGCAUUAAACCAGCCACAAUACUGUUGCACUCCCCCUAACGACAAGCCGGAGACAUGCCCUCCCACUGACUACUCUAAGCUCUUCAAGACCCAGUGCCCUCAAGCUUAUAGCUAUGCUUAUGAUGACAAGAGCAGCACCUUCACAUGCAGUGGUAGACCUGACUACCUCAUCACAUUCUGCCCAUAAGCAUACAUAUAUAUAUAAUGGGAUCUUAUAUGUUAUGACAUUAUACAUAUAGUUCCCAAUAACAGAGAAGAAUAAAUAAAUUUCCUGGAUCUUGACACAUUGUUGAUGUCAAGAAUUUGUAAUGCAGACGAUCAAAUAAAGGUAUAAAUGUUUGGAUUUUAUUUUCAUUCAUUUCCUUAUACGUGCAUUAUUUCCAGCAACAAAGCAUGAGAAUAAUAUAAAGAGAGUUAGCUGCAAACUGAAAUGGUUAUCAAACGGGAGUUUAAAUACGGAUUGUAAUUUUCUGUCAUGGCUGGUAAGGAAUAAGCAUGGCCAUUUACGAAACUAUAAUAUGAACAACACUGAGAAACACAAGUAUGGCCAUUUCAAACAGACUACAAAUGACUUCGUAUUCCAACAAUGAAUCAACAGCACCCAUGGCCAUAUGCGUUUGCAGCAUCUGAAGGUAGAUCAUCUAAUUAAUGUUAGAAGGAUAAUAGUUUCUAAAGUUCUUUAUUAAAAAAUCAAUAGACAACCACCAUGACUGUUUUGGGAAAUUAGAGACAAAUUUUGUCUUGGAGAAGAUGAUCACUUCUCAAUGCUUGACGGCUACAUAAUGCUAAAAUAUGAAUAUGGUUUGAAUACUUUAUUUUAGGUUAGUUGUAUUCUUCUUCAUAAAGAAGUAUAUAUAGGAGUUUGUUUUACAAGGAAAUAGAUACAGUAAAUCACCAUGGUAUACAAGGUGAUCACUUAGAGACAAAAAUUGAAAUGGUUCCCAAAGCCUUCCCUUAGCAAGCAGGUACCAUUGCAAGAAUGGUUCCAUAGUCAAUAAUGACAAGACCCGCAAGGAUGAUCUCGAAUUUAUAUGCAUGUUUUAAUUUCAUGGGCCUGUUGUUCUUCUACUACAGUAAUUAGAAUUUGUUUACAAGUGUGAAUUUUCCCAGAGCAAUUUCAGGGACCGACUUGACUUUCACCAUGCGGCCUCAGGAAGUGCAAAUGAACCCCGCACAAGACUUUUAGAGGGAGCUCUUUGGACGUGGACUUGUUAAAACAUGAAAGGUUUUUGUGUUGAUUUUUCUGAAUCAUACAAUCCGUUAAUAUACAAAUUUAUAUACACGGAGACUACUAAAGAAUGUAAAACUUUAAGAUCAUACAAACUACAAGUACUUGUUGAGAGUAUUUAGUCCAUGUUUUUUUUUUUUUAAUCCAGACAUUCAUUUUGUAUUUUAUUUUUUUUAUCGUUUAUCGAACUCAUAUAAACAUGAUAUAUAAAGCAAAAAGUAGAGAGAGAAUAGUAAAACAUUCAAAAAAGCAAAAAUUGUCCUUGCUUCAUAAUUUUAUUUCUUUGUUGGAAUGAAUUUAUUACGCAUUAAUUAAACUUUUCAUUAAAUAAGCAUAAUAUAGUAAAUUAAUAUAUAUAUAUUUUUUAAAAUGGGGACCUAUUUUCAUGAGAUACUUCUUCUUCUUCUUUUUUUUUUUUUUUGUUAGAUUCUCUUUCUUAAUUCUUAAAUUCAAAAAAUGAAAAUAAAAAACCAAUUGGCACCAAGGUAGUAUAUGUGAAACAUCGUCGGAAAUUUAAUUGUUUUUUAUUGAAAUGUUCAUAAAAACAAACUAACAAAAUAUAUACAUACAUUAGAAAAAAAAAAAUUUGUUUCAAAAUAAAUGCACAGUGCCCAAGGAAUCUCCUUAUGUAACUUAUGUCUCUUCAAAACUGUAAAAAAAAAAAUCCGCUAUAGCAAUACUCACAAGUGGAUAAUUGUAAUCCGGGUUCGAAUUCCGGCAGUAGAAUUCUUUUUAAGUUAGAUGUAAAUGUGAUCCAUUUUAUAUCAGUUAUAAUAGUUGUCGUAAUGAGCUUCUUUUUAAGUCUCUGUUUAUAUAGCAGCUUCUUCCCUAACUUGAGUAGAAUCCAAUUUGCGGCUAAGAUCACUUAAGAUGCAAGACUUUUAGUCACAAAGUAAAUAUUCCUAUUUCAGUCCUUGUCAAAACUUUGGCAAAAAAAAAAAGAAAAAUGAUUCCUAUCAAAACAUAGAGCAUCCACAAUGGGAGGGUGUAUAUGAGGGUGUAUGUUAAAUAUACAUCCCUUGUCACCGGAAUCAUCUGCAAUGGGGAGAUGAAAAGGGUUGUAAAUAUACAUCACCACCAUGGAGAUGUAAAAAAAUGUACAUUUACAUCUAUUUUUACAUCUUUUGCAAGUGGGACCCACCCGAAAAAAGAGAAGAAAAAUGAAGAAAAGUCAGCAUAAAAGGCUGGGACCCGCGGCUACAGUAAUUGCUAGAAAAAAAAAAUCACAUGUUGUUUGCUUAUUUGUGGUUUUCAUGCUCCCCCAAUGUUUUUGGAUGAUCAUAUCUUCUCCGAAUUUCAAUAUUUUUAGGGCUAUUUGUUUGAAAAAUUAAAAUUAACCUCAUACAAAAAAAAAUUAAUUUUAUAAAGUAAACACAAAAUACAAAUUUAACACAAAAACGAAUUAAGAAAAAUAAAACAAUUACACAUCUUAGAUUUACAUCUUCUCCUAUUGGAGCCAAAAACGUAUUUACAUCCCCUGGAGGUGUAAAGGGGAUGUAAAAGUGGCUUUACACCCCCGAAUUUACGCCCCUUACUGUGGAUGCUCUCAGUGCAUAUGAUGUACAGAUAAUUCACCAAAAAAAAAAAAAAAGGAAAUUAGUAUUGACAGUAUUCCACAUGGGAAGAUGGAAACGUUGUAAUAUAGUGCUUAAACUUCUCCACCUAUUGUCAAUUAUUUUUACGUUGAAUGCUGAUAUCUUAAAGAUAACGCUACUCAAUCAGGUUCUUAUUUGACUCUCAACAUUGAAAAAUGCAUUACAAACUAAAGUUCAUUUUAUCGUGGAAUAUAUAUAUUUUUUCAUGGACCCUGAAAUUUAGAAAACAAUUAAAAAGGCAAAAAAGAAAAAGAAAAAUAGGCAAUUUAGGGUCCUUUCAGUAAUGUUUUCGGAGAAUAUAUUCAGAAAAUGAAAAUGAGAAAACGAAUAUACAUUUUCAAGAUUCGAGAAUGCAUAUGGUAGACUAAGUAAAUAUUUUUCGAGAACGAAAACAGUAAAAACGUGUCUAAUACGAACAUAUGAAAAUGACAAAAAUACUGAAUUGGCAACAGUAUUAUAAAAAUUAUUUUCAACAUCAUAAAUCAAAUAUUGUGUGUAGCACAUAUCUUAUCAGACUUACUAAUAGGCCAAAAAAUUUCUUAAAAAUUGUGCAAUGGUCUAAUUAAUUAUCAUUAUCCAAUACAUGCUAGAUAACCCAAAAUGGGCUCAUGUCCUCCAAGAUAUCAUCCUACAUCAUAGAUCAAAUCUCUUAUAGUCUCACAAAUAUUUGAAAAAUAUGCAAAAUAAAAUUUAAAAUCAUGUUGUCAUGAGCACUAAAUAAAACCCCACCAUAAAUUUGCUGCGAUAUAUUGUCUCUAAUGUCGCCUAUUUGUGCAAUAUUUCCUUUUGACAUAUCUAUAUUCGGUGGUAUUGUAUUUUUUGAGUCAAUGAUCAUGUCUUCAACUUGGAACUCUUCGAUCAUCCUAUCACGACCAACUUCUUUUCUUAUAAAAUUAUGCAACACACAACAUACAAUAGGAACUCAUUGUUGCCUUCUCGGAGGAUAAUUAGGCAUCAAUUUCAAAAUUAGAAAAAGAGCUUUCAAAACACCAAAACAUCGCUCAAUUACAUUACAUAAUGAGGAGUGCCUAUAGCUCAACAAUUCCAUAGGACCUCUUGGUGUUUGUCGAGGUCCUCUAUCAUCACGCAAAUGAUAUCUCUCACCUCGAUAGGGUGCCAAGAAUUCAGGCACUUUUGAAUAUCCAACAUCCACAACAAUACCCUGUAAUUGUAAUUUAUUACUUGCAAGACACAAAUAAUGUACAUAAUAAUAUUAAUUGUAAUCUUAUGUUUAUACCUUCUUCUGGAAAAGGAAACUCUCAUUUUCUGGCCUUAUCACUGCAUCUAUGAACACCCUAGAGUCAUUUGCAGUUCCUUCCCAGCCCGUAUAAACAAAAGUGAACAUCAUGUCCAAAGAGCAAGCACACAUGGCCUUUUGAGUAAUAAGAAUCUUCCUACCAUGAUAUGAGGUUUGCUUUUGAGUUGGUGCCUAAGCAACAACAUGAGUUCCAUCAAUUGCACUAACACACUUCUGCGAUAAAUUCAUAUAUUUACAAACUAUAAAGUAAAUAUAAUUUAAAAUAUAUAAUUAUAAUAAUAAAAUAAAUAAAAUUAACAAUUGAUUUCUCACCUCAAAAUAAGGAUAAUACUUUAGGUUAUUCAAAAUUUCAGAAGGUGUUUCCUCUCGACUUUGUGGCCUUAUAAUACGUGGUGCUAAAGCACAUAAAGCUCCCAAAACACACUAAAAUUGUCUAUGAAUUGUGUCUUUAGAUCGUUGGAAAUGAUCAACAGCCAGUCACAUGCAGAUAUUAUGAGACACUAUAAAUAUGAAAAUUGCCAUUGCCUUAUAAGUACCCACAUUUCUAUCAUUCUGUGGCAAAUUUAAACUCUCAAGUGUGUAACGCAACCUUUGGAAUACAUGUUUGUACAUGUGAAACGAGUCUUAAAUCCUAUCUGCUGGAUGCCCAUUCAAACAUAUUCAUGCUCGGAUAAAACAGAAUUAUGACAUGGAGUUCUAUGUACAUAUGAUUGCCAAUAUUCAUAAAUAUGCAUACAAAUUAUCAUAUGAUGCACCAUUUCCUUCGGAUCUGAAUCACUAUCGGAGUGAUUGUCUUCAUUCCUUAUAGACAUGUCUAGUACCUUCAAGUAUUCAAAUUCAAUAAAGAAUUAUGCAUACAAAUUAAAGUCACAAAAAUCUAAAAUAUGCAUACAAAUUAAAGUCACAAACAUCAAACAGAAUAAGAAGAACAAUUCAUUAGUAUUCUCUCAACAAUAAACAUAAGUAGCAAUCCUAAAGACUAGCCAACCAAACUCUCCUCCUUUCUUCUGGCAUUAUAACAAAGAUUUUCCUCCAUUCAACAAUCACUAUCUUUUCUAGCAUCUUGUCGAUGUAUUGUUAUCAAUAUCUCCCAUUGUCUCAACAAUUCCUAUGCAUUCUUCAAUCGAAUACAUUUCCUUAGAGGUGCUAGAUGCCUCAAGCAAUGGCCACAGCAGCAAGCAACAACAGCAACAAUAGAAGCUACUCUGCCAUCUUCUGCCGCUUCCAUCUGUCUAGCCGUCAUGUCACGACGACAACCCGCAAACAAAAAGAAAAAGAAAAAGGCCACGCUAGCCGCCGCUACCAUCGAUACCGAUCAUGACAACAACUAACCGGGCCCACCUAGUUGGUACUCAUGUCGAAGAAGAAAAGAAGAAGAAAAAAAAAUCAAAUUCGAUUUACCUUGGGGUGUACGGCAACUCCUCUCUUCAACAAGCAGUACAAUUCUCCAAGAUCUCUCUCAAACUAGAAAGCAAAGAAGACAAGUUUUCAAUUUGAAGAAGAGCGAAAAGAAGCUUUGUAUUUAUAAAGAUUGGGCAUCCUAGGUCAAGAAGGAAGCACGAGUUCAUUUCCAUUAGGAGCUCAACUCAAGAAAAAGUCAAAAGCCUACUCCAAUUAGGAGCCCAAUUGGCAAAAGGAUUCCAACUCAAAGAAGAAAGCCCAAAUGCAGUUGGAAAGCCCGAAAAGUAUUUCUCACCUCCUCUACACCUCACAAGCGCCAUGCAAAAGUUGGGGGACAUUUGUGGGAGAAAAUAAUCAAGUUUCCAAUCAUAAGGUGCCACAUGGACAAGAAGAAUAUCUCCUAUGUCAAUUAAUUGAGCCCAUUUAUUUGGCUAAUUAGUUGAUCUAAAAAUAGGGAUAUUAUCUUAAAUAUGGGAUAUUAUCUUUAUUUGGGAAUAUAAUUACCAAUUAAAAGAUAAUAUCAUCAAUUUAGGAUAUUAUCUUAAUUGGGAUAUAUUAUCAUCAAUCAAUGAUUUAAUCCCAAUCAAAUUCUUAAUUGACUUAAUCUCUCCAUUUAGGGGAAAAAAUAUCUUCCUUCCAAAUAAGAAGAUAUUCUUUGAAAAUCUCUCCAUUUAGGUAAUUCCGAAACCUAGCAAGAAUUCACCAAAACCUCUCUCUCUCUCGCCGACGGCCUCUCUCACUCUUAUCUCUCUCACACGGCCAAGUGCCACCACACACGGUUCUGGCCCCCUGACUCUCCCCCGGAGAGAAAGCUCUGUACCUUUUUAGUUAUUGCCACAUAUUUUCUCAAAGAUCCAAUCGAACUAACUUAGGCAUCCGAGGGACUUUGGCCAACAACUUCCGGAUAUAGUUUUUUACUCAUGUUUGUUUCGUAGGAACGAGGAAGAGAGAGAAGAAAGCUCAAAAGGUGAAGGAUCUACAUGCGAAUACUCUUCCUUGAGAAAUUUGCAUAAACAGAAGAAGUGUGACAUAUUCUUAAUUCAAAAAUAUCCAUCCGAAACAAGGAAAAAAUUGUAAAACUAAACUUAUGAAAUUAUACCUCUAUUCUGGUCAGCAUGAAUGGAUAUGUCCAAACAAAUUUUAAUCCAAAAAGAAAAAUCAGAGGUGAAGGUUUAGGGUUUCACAAACAGAUCUACUAAGUAAAACGAAUUAACAUAUGAUAUGGGCAAAAUAAAGAAAUGAGACCAAGAUAAAACUUCUAGAAACGUGACAAAUUGUCCUUUGAAGUAAUUUUACGUAAGCAUAACAAUUCGAAAUAAAAGAUAAACAAAUAAAAAAUCCUAUGAAUGUGGAUGGGACGAGGAAAAUUGAAGCUGACAAUAAAGGUUACUUGGGAUAUAUCCAAAGAAAAAAAAAGAAGAGAAAUACUACUUUUCCUUCCUUGUUUUACUUUUCUCCCUCAUUAAUUGUACUUAGCUUUAGCUCCAUGCAUCUUCUCCUCCUUCACAGCAGCCUAGGCCAUCAAUCACGCUAUGAAAAUGGUUACGUGGCGCACGCCUGGUUGUGUAUGGACUGUUUUUCAAAAUCACGAGUGUUCUUAAUCAACGUUUUAAUUUGAUAUGGUUGGCAAUUUUCCAAUUCUCCCAGUCUUGCUACUUUGACUAAAUUAAUAUCUACUUGUUUUUUUAUGUUUGCAAGUAAUAUGUACUCGUGCCAGUAUUCAAAGUACCUGCUAUUACAAAUAAACCAAUGUAAACAGGGACUAAGCGUUUAUGGCCCGUUUCCUAGUAUUGAUGACCUAUCAUCUAAUGUUUGGGUUUAAUCCAAAUCUCUCUAGAAGUUUUUUUUAUUUUUUUUUUAUUUUUUUAUGAGGGUUCAAAUGUGACACCACUUGUCUACAAGUUAAGGUCAUUUUCUAUUGCGCUAGAGACUCUAUUGGCCUCUAAAAAAUCUUUUAGUUACUUCUUUAUUAAUGUAUACACGUGACUAGAGACCAUCUAAUAGUUAUCACAUUUUCCAUUUACAUGUGUGUCUGUGACUAAGCUAACAAUUGUAACUAUAUAUGUUUAUCCAAUUGAUCACUUUUUCUACACUUAUCUACAUGUGUGUCUGGCCUAUAUGAUGACUUUAAUUUUUCUGGAUUGAAUUUGAAUUUUCUGUAAUAUAAAUUUUUUGGGAUAAUGUGGGGACUUCAUUGCAGGUCAAUGACGUUAUCUAGGACCAAAUAUUACGAGUAAUUUAUUAGUUUCCCCAGGGUCCUGUUUACGUGUUACCAUGGCAGCUUAGACCCGUAAUCAAAAUAGCAAGAAAAGAUCAAAAGUUAGGCACGCUACAAGCCCUAUAUAAAGCACCCCCUGGCACCCAAGUUUAUCAUCAUCCUUCUCACCAAAUUACAAGUUAAUUAAGUUUAUCAGCAAGAGCAACAGCAAGCCAAUUAAGACAUUUCCAUGACGAUGAUGAAGAGCCAAGCAGCUCUCCUCGGCCUCACCACCUUGGCCAUCCUCUUCUUCUCAGGUAUAAUAUUAUACAAACUUUGUUAGGUGAUCAGAUAUCGAUCAAAAAGUUUAUUUUUACAAUUGUCUCUGUAAUCUUUAGUCUUAUGAUCAUGGUUUAAUGUACUUUGAAUAUGCAGGUGCACAUGCAGCUAAAAUCACUUUCACAAACAAAUGUUCCUACACUGUCUGGCCAGGAACCCUAACCGGUGACCAAAAACCUCAAUUAUCACUCACCGGGUUCAAGUUAGCAACCGGAAUUAGCCGCUCUGUGGACGCACCGUCCCCAUGGUCCGGUCGCUUCUUUGGCCGAACCAGGUGCUCCACGGACGCGUCAGGAAAGUUCACUUGUGCCACAGCAGAUUGUGGUUCUGGCCAAGUCUCAUGCAACGGUAACGGCGCAGCUCCGCCCGCUACAUUAGUAGAAAUCACUAUUGCUUCGAACGGGGGUCAAGACUUCUACGACGUUAGUCUUGUUGACGGCUUCAACUUGCCCAUGUCCGUGGCUCCACAAGGCGGCACCGGCAAGUGUAAGGCCUCAACUUGCCCUGCCGAUAUUAACAAAGUGUGCCCGGCUCCGUUACAAGUGAAGGGAUCUGAUGGAAGCGUAAUUGCGUGCAAGAGCGCUUGCUUAGCAUUCAACCAGCCAAAAUACUGUUGCACUCCACCUAACGACAAGCCGGAGACAUGCCCUCCCACUGAUUACUCUAAGCUCUUCAAGACCCAGUGCCCUCAAGCUUAUAGCUAUGCUUAUGAUGACAAGAGCAGCACCUUCACAUGCAGUGGUAGACCUGACUACCUCAUCACAUUCUGCCCAUAAGCAUAUAUAUAUAUAUAGAAUGGGAUCUUAUAUGAUAUGAUAUUAUACAUAUAGUUCCCAAUAAAUAAAUUUCCUGGAUCUUGACACAUUGUUGAUGUCAAGAAUUUGUAAUGCAGACGAUCAAAUAAAGGAAUAAAUGUUUGGAUUUUAUUUUC